Molecule: long non-coding RNA, 1048 nt
Organism: Camelus dromedarius (Arabian camel)
Lineage: Eukaryota; Metazoa; Chordata; Mammalia; Artiodactyla; Camelidae
Exons: 2
Source: RefSeq, a predicted model, not a curated record
CGCCCCGCCCGGCCGGCCGCCCGGCCGCCGGCGAGCGGAGGGAGCCCCGGAGGGGCGCGCGCGGGCUGGCCCAGGGCUGCGGACGCCGGUGGGGGGAGCCCUGGGCUCUCGGUUCGCCAGCUCGCUCGGUCCUCGCGGCAGCCCUGGGCGGCAGGGGCCGUUGUCGCGCCCCUCGACAGAGGAGGUGGCCCACGUCUAGUGGAAACCUGCCGCCAUGUCAUGAGGACACUGAGGCAGCUUGCAGGGAGGUCCUGGUGUCCAGGAAUUGAGGCUUUCUACCAACAGAAAUGUGAGUGAGUCGUCUUGGAAGCAAUCCUCUAGUCCUGCUGAAGCCUGUGGCGGACAGCAACACCUGCCAACAUCCUGACUGCAACUUCAGGACACCUUGAGCGAGGACUGCUCAGCUUAACCACUCCUGGUUUCAUGACUCUGGGAAACUGUAAGAUAAAGAGUCCUUGUUUUAAGCCACUAAGCUUUGGGGUAAUUUGGUAUACAGCUGUAGAUAACGAAUAUACAGGGUAAAAGGAAUAUGUAUUCUUUGUACUAUUAUGGCAGCUUCUCUGUAAAUUUGAAAUUAUUUCAAAAUACAAUGUUAAAAAAUAAAUUUGAUUAAAUUCUCUAUUUCCGUAACUGACUAGACAUAGAAGACAAACCAAUUUCCAUGGAAGGGAGAAAGAAAGGCAUUUUAGCCUGACACAUCAUGUUUUCCCAUCAGUAAGUAAACUCAUCAGGUGUUUAAAAAUAUUCUUACAGAAAACAUUUACUUGAACUCUGACUUGAAGCACUUUAGAGAAAAUAAGAUGAGGUGAAUUUCAUAAGUAAAUCCCGGGAGCUUAUUUUAGAUGGAUGUAGAGGCUGGUAAGAUCACUUACUGUGUGGUUACUCUGACUUUUUCAAAAUCAUACUUCAGCCGCACCAGUUUUAUCAUCCUUAAGAGCUGAUUAUUGUUCAGUCAUUCAAAAAAUGUUUAUUGAGUACCUAUAAGUGUUUGUCACUGUUUUACUAGACACUGGAGAUACAUCAAUAAAUAACAUGGUAUUUACCUGCA